UUGGCCGGUGCUUCUUCUGUACCUACCGUCACUUGCGCUUCGUCGGUACUGAAAGAGGUUUACAACCCGAAGGCUGUCAUCCCUCACACGGCGUUGCUGGAUCAGGCUUCCGCCCAUUGUCCAAUAUUCCCCA
Molecule: ribosomal RNA, 133 nt
Filed under: uncultured bacterium
Lineage: Bacteria
Description: partial 16S ribosomal RNA
Source: RNAcentral